This 266-nucleotide non-coding RNA is filed under the name Vitis vinifera (wine grape). RNAcentral describes it as "Bacterial small subunit ribosomal RNA". It matches the Rfam family "Bacterial small subunit ribosomal RNA", at positions 945 to 1216 of the family's 1533-position model. The record is from Rfam by way of RNAcentral. Lineage: Eukaryota; Viridiplantae; Streptophyta; Magnoliopsida; Vitales; Vitaceae.
UUUGAUAAUGACACCUUGUGAAACCUUACUUAGGAUUGACAUGUUGUGAAUCCUCUUGAAAGAGAGGAGUGCCUUUCGGAAUGUAGACAUAGGUGGUGCAUGGUUGUCAGCUUGUGUCGUAAGGUGUUGGGUUAAGUCCCGCAAUGAGCACAACCCUUGAGUUUAGUUGCCACCCUUGAAUUUGGAACCCUGAGCAGAUUUUUGAGGAUAAGCCAGAGGAAGGUGAGGAUGACUUCAAGUCAUCAUGUCCCUUAUGCCUUGGGCUA